RNAcentral lists this ribosomal RNA (20 nucleotides) under Microsporum audouinii. Its description in RNAcentral is "partial 28S ribosomal RNA". RNAcentral also lists the same sequence under 18 other names. Lineage: Eukaryota; Fungi; Ascomycota; Eurotiomycetes; Onygenales; Arthrodermataceae. The record is from RNAcentral.
GGUUGACCUCGGAUCAGGUA